GCUGGUCCGGUUCACGUCCCCCGCUGGGGGGCGACCCGGCGCC
Marmoricola sp. Leaf446 is the source of this 43-nucleotide regulatory RNA element. It matches the Rfam family "L31-Actinobacteria ribosomal protein leader". Lineage: Bacteria; Bacillati; Actinomycetota; Actinomycetes; Propionibacteriales; Nocardioidaceae. The record is from Rfam.